Molecule: ribosomal RNA, 370 nt
Filed under: uncultured bacterium
Lineage: Bacteria
Description: bacterial SSU rRNA
Rfam family: Bacterial small subunit ribosomal RNA
Source: RNAcentral
AGAGGGGGCCAGCGUUAUUCGGAAUUAUUGGGCGUAAAGGGCACGUAGGCGGCCAUGCGUGUCUUCCGUGAAAUCCCUCGGCUUAACUGAGGACGUGCGGAAGAAACUGCAAGGCUAGAGUCUUGUAGAGGGGGGUAGAAUUCCAGGUGUAGCGGUGAAAUGCGUAGAGAUCUGGAGGAAUACCGGUGGCGAAGGCGGCCCCCUGGACAAAGACUGACGCUCAGGUGCGAAAGCGUGGGGAGCAAACAGGAUUAGAUACCCUGGUAGUCCACGCCGUAAACGAUGUCGAUUUGGAGGCUGUGUCCUUGAGACGUGGCUUCCGGAGCUAACGCGUUAAAUCGACCGCCUGGGGAGUACGGCCGCAUGGUUA